This is a long non-coding RNA of Canis lupus familiaris (dog), 783 nucleotides long. RefSeq lists it as uncharacterized. NCBI's taxonomy places the organism in Eukaryota, Metazoa, Chordata, Mammalia, Carnivora, Canidae. The transcript is spliced from 2 exons. The record is from RefSeq and is a predicted model, not a curated record.
AAAUGCAUCACGACAGAGGCGUCCCACUUGGUGCUCCUCUUUCUCACUCACUGCGCCCUCCUCAGUGAGUUACCGACUCCUUGAUGCUCUGAGCUCUAGGGGCCUUUCCUUCCAGCAGAGACAGGGGACAGGAGAUGCAGGUAGAGCCCCCACUUCCGAGUCCCGCACUUGAGAUCUUCGUUCAAGCUGGGUGUGCUCAUCUGCCGGCUGCUGGAAGUGGCAGUCCCCAAGGGCUCACUGUUGUCACCUCUCAGACCCCAAGAGCCUUUUCCCAGAGAUCCCUUGGAGGCGGGGACAGCCCACACCGUGGCGGGGCUGGGACAGUUACAGAGCACCAGGAGUACCUGGGCCUCCAGCUGGAACAGGCAAGGGGUGCAAAUCACCCUCAGGGCCCCUUCGGAUCAGACCCAAGCUGAUCUCCAGAGGAAACUCCUAUUCACCCUGUGUCUCCUACCUGCUCCUGCCCCUUAGAGCUCUCCUGAGAAAGCAUCUGUGUAAGAAUGCCUGCCUCAGGCUCUGCUAAGUCAGACAUAAAGUUAUAUGAAUGGUAAUUGACUCCCUAACUUGGCCCAUGCUUGCAUUUUGAGGAGGAACCCUACAUGGUGGGGUUUCCUGUCUUCUUUAAUGUAUUCCCGGAUGGUAUGUGCUAGUAUUUCACUUAUGAUGUUUUCAUUAAUGGUCAUAAAAAGAUUGUCUAUUGUUUGAUUUUUGUGUUUUCUCAGGACUUGGCAUCAUAUUUGCUGAAUAAAAGUAAUUACAUAGCUUUCUCUUUUUAUCUACCUA